GGUUGAUCCUGCCAGUAGUCAUAUGCUUGUCCCAAAGAUUAAGCCAUGCAUGUCUAAGUAUAAAUCCUUGUACGGUGAAACUGCGAAUGGCUCAUUAUAUCAGUUAUAAUUUACUUGAUGAUCUCUUUACUACUUGGAUAACCGUGGUAAUUCUAGAGCUAAUACAUGCAAAGAGCCCGACUUCUGGAAGGGCUGUAUUUAUUAGAUAAAACCAAUGCCAGCAAUGGCGCUUGGUGAGUCAUGAUAACUGCGCGGAUCGCAUGGCCUUGCGCCGGCGACGCUUCAUUCAAAUU
Molecule: ribosomal RNA, 293 nt
Filed under: uncultured eukaryote
Lineage: Eukaryota
Description: partial 18S ribosomal RNA
Rfam family: Eukaryotic small subunit ribosomal RNA
Source: RNAcentral